AGUGACGGUUUGGUGGAUGUUUCUAUCCAUUAUUAUUAAAAAUUGUUUAAACUAAAAAAUAUUAUAUGUUUAAAGCAUAAAACAAAAGCCACCCAUUUUAUUUUUCUUUCUUCACCUCCUAAACCACCAAAAGAGAAGAGGGAAGCCAUGUUUGAAGCUUUAAAGGUUCGGCCCUAUGCGCAUGUUGUCUUUUACUGGACGAGGAGAUCGGAUCACUUCGAAGCUCACACUAUCAAGCCUUUGAUUUGGCAGUCUUUUAAACAUUUUGGACUCGUUUAUGUGGCAUGUCUAUAGGUAUUGUUGUCAUCAUUAAUUGAAUUUGUUGGGAUUUAUAUCUUAAAAGGUUCAAUUAAACAUUUAUCAAAAAAGAUUGUAUACCUAUACAAUCAAUUUCUUCAAA
Gossypium arboreum is the source of this 400-nucleotide long non-coding RNA. RefSeq lists it as uncharacterized. The transcript has 2 exons. The record is from RefSeq and is a predicted model, not a curated record. NCBI's taxonomy places the organism in Eukaryota, Viridiplantae, Streptophyta, Magnoliopsida, Malvales, Malvaceae.